AAAUCAGGUAGGAGUACCCGCUGAACUUAAGCAUAUCAAUAAGCGGAGGAAAAGAAACCAACCGGGAUUGCCUUAGUAACGGCGAGUGAAGCGGCAAAAGCUCAAAUUUGAAAUCUGGUACCUUCGGUGCCCGAGUUGUAAUUUGGAGAGGGCAACUUUGGGGCCGUUCCUUGUCUAUGUUCCUUGGAACAGGACGUCAUAGAGGGUGAGAAUCCCGUGUGGCGAGGAGUGCGGUUCUUUGUAAAGUGCCUUCGAAGAGUCGAGUUGUUUGGGAAUGCAGCUCUAAGUGGGUGGUAAAUUCCAUCUAAAGCUAAAUAUUGGCGAGAGACCGAUAGCGAACAAGUACAGUGAUGGAAAGAUGAAAAGAACUUU
This 372-nucleotide ribosomal RNA is filed under the name Streptococcus mutans. RNAcentral's name for it is "partial 23S ribosomal RNA". It matches the Rfam family "Eukaryotic large subunit ribosomal RNA", at positions 8 to 377 of the family's 3401-position model. The record is from RNAcentral. Lineage: Bacteria; Bacillati; Bacillota; Bacilli; Lactobacillales; Streptococcaceae.